RNA transcript from Brassica napus (rape), 1123 nucleotides. It is a transcript of the gene named protein CHUP1, chloroplastic-like, with no coding region annotated. The transcript has 3 exons. Lineage: Eukaryota; Viridiplantae; Streptophyta; Magnoliopsida; Brassicales; Brassicaceae. The record is from RefSeq and is a predicted model, not a curated record.
AUGUUACCAAAUGGGGAGGAUGAUUCGGAUCUUAUGCGUCUGGUGAAGGAGCUUCAAGCUUCUCUAAUGAAGAACGAUAAGCUGGAGAAAGAAAAUCACGAGCUGCGUCAAGAAGUGGCUCGCCUACGAGCACAAGUAAGCAAUCUUAAAGCACAUGACAAUGAGAGGAAAUCAAUGUUAUGGAAGAAGUUGCAGAGCUCAUAUGAUGGUGGCAACACAGACGCAUCUAAUCUGAAAGCGCCAGAGAGUGCCAAACCCAACAUAAAGGGACAUGAGGUAAAGAAUCCAAACCUGAAGCCAAUGGUCAAAGAACAAUCUAUAGCAAUAAAGCCGCCGCCGCCUCCACCACUUCCAUCAAAAACAACACUUGGAAAAAGGUCCGUGCGUCGUGCUCCAGAAGUUGUAGAGUUGUAUCGUGCCCUCACGAAGAGAGAGUCUCAUAUGGGCAACAAGAUCAAUCAGAACGGAGUUUUGUCUCCUGCGUACAACGCAAACAUGAUUGGUGAGAUUGAGAACCGCUCCAAAUAUCUUUCAGAUAUCAAAUCAGACACUGACAGACACAGAGAACAUAUCCAUUUCCUAAUCAGUAAGGUGGAUGCUGCAACAUUUACAGACAUAUCAGAAGUGGAGACGUUUGUGAAAUGGAUAGACGACGAACUAUCUUGAGAAUUGUUUGUGUGAAUCUAAGGAAAUCGAAGCUGUAUCGGUUCGAUAAGGAGGCGAAUCAGUGGAAGGAGAGAGGUGCUGGUACUGUGAAGCUCUUGAAGCAUAAGAGCGCUGGCAAGAUUCGUCUCGUCAUGAGGCAAUCGAAAACUCUCAAGAUCUGUGCUAAUCACUUCGUUAAACAUGGCAUGAGUGUUCAAGAACACGUGGGAAAUGAAAAGUCUUGUGUAUGGCACGCUCGUGACUUUGCUGACGGGGAACUCAAGGAUGAGCUUUUCUGCAUCCGGUUUGCUUCCAUUGAGAGUGAGUAUCAAUUAUGAUAACACUAGUGGAAGCCCGCUAUGGGCGGAAUAUGAUAUUUUGUCAAUUAUAUUUUUUAAGUUUAUUUCUAAAUUUAAGGGAUUGUGUUCAUCUUUGAUUCAUACCAAUUUUUCAUAUGAUUCUUUUGCGAUUGGUGUAA